AACACCUAAUAUAAUAAUGAAAGUCCCAUUAUGCAUGAAGCCUGGACGUGGGAAGCAAGUGUACGCAUGAAGGAAUGGAUGGGCACAUAUUAAAAUAAUAGUAUAAUUGUUACUGGAGUCUUCAAGGAGCAAGAAGCAAAGUUUAACUUUGCUAGUACUUGCACGUGAAGGAAACGCAGCCCACGGUUUUUGACUGCCAAG
Molecule: long non-coding RNA, 201 nt
Filed under: Eucalyptus grandis
Lineage: Eukaryota; Viridiplantae; Streptophyta; Magnoliopsida; Myrtales; Myrtaceae
Description: long non-coding RNA (EGRA_LNC000020)
Source: RNAcentral